This 660-nucleotide long non-coding RNA is filed under the name Zonotrichia albicollis (white-throated sparrow). RNAcentral's name for it is "lncRNA (ENSZALG00000015832.1)". The record is from RNAcentral. Lineage: Eukaryota; Metazoa; Chordata; Aves; Passeriformes; Passerellidae.
UUUGUUUUUCCCUUGGGAACGAACAGUACUUGCUUCAGUAGUGUUGAUUGGAAAAUAACCCUUUAUUUUUUGUUGGACCAUUUCUCAGCUGGAUUGAUUCCUGUUUCAGUUGUUUAGCUACACAAGCAUUUCUGACAGUGCAGUGGAAAGGGAGAUGAGGGAUCUGAGGGGGCAGCUGGAAGCACGGAGGACACAGGGCUGUUCAGAUCAGCCACAUCAACUCUGCUGCCAAAUGCCAAGUCUCAUUUUCUUCUCCCAAUCCAGGUCCCUUCUGCUUCUGUCACUUCCAUCUGCCCAUCACAAGCCUUGGAUUGAAGGGGGAGUUCAGUUACACUGCAGGGUGAGUUGACACCCUUGUUCUGGCACCAUCCUGCUCUUUUGAACUGUGCCUGAUCUGUGAGCUAAUCUGAUAAAUGAGGACAUUUUGUGCACACAUGGUGUGCAUUUUAAAGAGCUUCAGUGUGUUAACAAACUGCUCUGAAUAUGGUGGGCCCCACCAGAAAGCACAUAAUUUGAGGCACAUGAGAAAGAGAUGCAGACCUGAGGAAGUAAAGAAGGUUCAUUUGGAAUGACUGAACCACCACCACAGAGCUGCUUUCCAGGACAGACAUGAGCUUUCACUUGCUUUUACUACAACUAUUUAAAAUGUGCUUUCUCAAG